AGAAUCAACGCUGGCGGCGUGCCUAACACAUGCAAGUCGAACGAGAAAGUGGAGCAAUCCAUUAGUAAAGUGGCGCACGGGUGAGUAACACGUGACUAACCUACCCUUGAGUGGGGGAUAACCUAGGGAAAACCUGGGCUAAUACCGCAUAAUACCUUCGGGUCAAAGGAGCAAUUCGCUUAAGGAGGGGGUCGCGGCCGAUUAGUUAGUUGGCGGGGUAAUGGCCCACCAAGACGAUGAUCGGUAUCCGGCCUGAGAGGGCGCACGGACACACUGGAACUGAAACACGGUCCAGACUCCUACGGGAGGCAGCAGUGGGGAAUUUUGCGCAAUGGGGGAAACCCUGACGCAGCAACGCCGCGUGGAGGAUGAAGCCCCUUGGGGCGUAAACUCCUUUCGAUCGGGACGAUUAUGACGGUACCGGAAGAAGAAGCCCCGGCUAACUUCGUGCCAGCAGCCGC
RNAcentral lists this ribosomal RNA (461 nucleotides) under uncultured bacterium. Its description in RNAcentral is "SSU rRNA". It matches the Rfam family "Bacterial small subunit ribosomal RNA", at positions 26 to 518 of the family's 1533-position model. The record is from RNAcentral.